UUUAGUUUUUAUUUGAAAGUGUACGAGAGAACUUGAAAAACUGUAAAAUUGAAAUUUUUAAAAGUGUUUUAAAAAUUUUAGUUGUUUAUAAAUUUUAGUUGUUUUUGGUGGUAUUACUUUGGCAAAAUAUUUUAAAUUGCCUGACCCAAAAUCGUAUUUAGAUGCAACGACUCGUGAACUUGUUUUACCUUUGCCAGGGUAUCAUCUCCCCUGGCGAGAGUCAGCACAAUCUUGGAAGAUGCUAUCGACAGGCAGUGGAACGACGUGAAAAUGUCGUCCCGUCGAGCCCUUGCCAUGUGUCCCGCUCGAUCCACUGUGCAAGAUGGUCAGCGGAGUCCUUGCGCAAACCAGUUCGAGUACUGUAGCAGGACUGUGGUUCUAGUAGGAGACUGAUUUGAUUGGAUUUCUUAAUGUUAUAGAUAUAUGAGAGUUUAAGAAGUUAUUAUUUAUUCAGCAUAAAUUGCAUGCCCCCCAUCUACUGUUCUUUGAAGUUGGGGGCCUUGAAGGGAUUACGAUUACAGGACUUGUGAGCAGCUGUGGAUAUCGUGGGCUGCAUCUACGAUCAGAGAACUAUCUCAGGGCACGGCUGCCCUGGAUACGGAGAAUGUGUGGGGCGCCUUGAGAUCGGGGAUUGGUGUGCCGAAGUCCCUGUUGUCGGUGGCAUAAAAAAUAAAUGUUUGAAAUAUAUGAAGAUCUAUAAAAGGAA
Drosophila pseudoobscura is the source of this 706-nucleotide long non-coding RNA. RefSeq lists it as uncharacterized. NCBI's taxonomy places the organism in Eukaryota, Metazoa, Arthropoda, Insecta, Diptera, Drosophilidae. The record is from RefSeq and is a predicted model, not a curated record. The transcript is spliced from 2 exons.